RNAcentral lists this small nuclear RNA (22 nucleotides) under Arabidopsis thaliana (thale cress). RNAcentral describes it as "snRNA_18151". The record is from RNAcentral. Lineage: Eukaryota; Viridiplantae; Streptophyta; Magnoliopsida; Brassicales; Brassicaceae.
UCCAUACAUUUUUAAGUCUUAG